Molecule: ribosomal RNA, 468 nt
Filed under: uncultured bacterium
Lineage: Bacteria
Description: partial 16S ribosomal RNA
Rfam family: Bacterial small subunit ribosomal RNA
Source: RNAcentral
GACGAACGCUGGCGGCGUGCUUAACACAUGCAAGUCGAACGGAAAGGCCCUGCUUUUGUGGGGUGCUCGAGUGGCGAACGGGUGAGUAACACGUGUGUAACCUGCCCUUGUCUUUGGGAUAACUUCACGAAACUGGGGCUCAUACCGGAUAGGAGCUCCUGCUGCAUGUUGGGGGUUGGAGAGUUUCGGCGGUUGGGGAUGGUCUCGCGGCUUAUCAGCUUGUUGGUGGGGUAGUGGCUUACCAAGGCUUUGACGGGUAGCCGGCCUGAGAGGGUGACCGGCCACAUUGGGUCUGAGGUACGGCCGAGACUCCUAAGGGAGGGAGCAGUGGGGAAUAUUGCACAAGGAGCGGAAGCCUGAUGCAGCAACGCCGCGUGCGGGAUGACGGCCUUCGGGUUGUAGACCGCUUUCGCCUGUGACGAAGCGUGAGUGACGGUAAUGGGUUAAGAAGCACCGGCUAACUACGUG